GGAGAGAGGAGAGCGAGGUCUCCUCAAUUUCUGUCCUUGUAAAUUCUCCCCAUUUGUCCACGUUAACAGGCUAGGGAAAAGCCCCAAAAUGUGCUCCCGUGGCCACCCACAGGUCCAGGUUCUUCUCUUCUUUCUGUUCCAGAUCCUUCUCUCUUAGGAGACUAAGCAGCUCGGCUCAUUGUCUCCCAGCGAGAGGUCAGUGCCUCUCUGGUGUGCACUGUUUGCUCCAUCCCUUAGGACAUUCUCCUCCGGCCAGGUCCUUGCUCCCUGCCCCGGCCUUGGCCUCCACAGCUUUGUGCCCACCUCAGGCUCACUCACUUUCUCACUCUGAGACUACCCUCAUUAGCAUACUCUCCACCAUCAGCAGGCCCUGGAGGGAUGUGUGUGGUGCUCCAGAUUCCACUGAAAAAGUACGUUUGUCUUCCAGACAUCUAGGGGAAGAGCUGGCAAGAAGAGGGGCUGCAAAUUGUCAACGUUGUUCUAUUUUUAUGCAAUAAAUGUUACACAGAAAUAGUCAUGUUUUAACGGAAACAAAUGCUACUAUUACUUAACAAAGGUUAACAAUAAAAGGCAUUAUU
This 578-nucleotide long non-coding RNA is filed under the name Equus caballus (horse). RNAcentral's name for it is "lncRNA (ENSECAG00000046226.1)". Lineage: Eukaryota; Metazoa; Chordata; Mammalia; Perissodactyla; Equidae. The record is from RNAcentral.